Ficedula albicollis (Collared flycatcher) is the source of this 441-nucleotide long non-coding RNA. RefSeq lists it as uncharacterized. The transcript is spliced from 3 exons. NCBI's taxonomy places the organism in Eukaryota, Metazoa, Chordata, Aves, Passeriformes, Muscicapidae. The record is from RefSeq and is a predicted model, not a curated record.
UACUGGUGCCGCAGCGGGGCCGUUACUGGCGCCAGUCCCCGCUACCCACUGGGAGCACCGAGCUGCGGAGCGCCGCCGGCUCGGGCCGGGGCCGCCAAGGACAGGACGUGGAGCGCGGCCGGGACCGGGAACCGGCGCAGCCCCGGGGGCAGCGGGACCGCCACCACGGCCCGGGGACAGCCCGGACAGUGCCACCACGGCCCGGGGACAGCCCGGACAGUGCCACCACGGCCCGGGAGCAGCGGGACCGCCACCACGGCCCGGGGACAGCGCGGGGACACGGGCUCGGGGACCUGGGAUUGGCCGCGUUUUUCCCCUCCAAACUCAGCAGCUUCUCAUGCCCUGCCGGGAACUCCUCCUGCUCCCUCAGCUACACCCCGGAGAUUCCCGAAAGGUUCCCGGGAGCCAACGGGCAGUGGAGGAGCUCCAAGCCCCGGGGGA